UCCAGUUAUCAAAAAUGUUCUACCAUGAUAGAGUUCCCAAACGCAAAAGACAGUUGGGAACUAAAGGAACACAUUAAAGGUUCUACAAAAUCCAACAAAAAACAUACUGAAAUAAUUCUACUCUGCUGUUGCAGCAACUCACUGUGAGACUCCAAGCCACUUUGUGAAGUUAUCAAAUUCGGUGUAGUCGCUAUCUGAAAUCAUAGUCUUGUACCAAGCUUUUCCAGCAGCUUUAAUUUUAUCAGCUUCUUCCUUGGAGAGUGGUGUCCUCUUCUUGUCCAGCUUUUCUUUCUUCGACUUCACACGCUGCGCCUCAGCAAGUAACGCCAUCCUCCUGGCAGUCUUUGCAUAGGGAUUCAGCCUCAGCAGAGUGUUGAGGUUCUUAAGCGGGUUCUUCUUCAACGUCCGGCGCUUGACGUCCUUGUUGAUCGGCCUGACAACCGACUGCACCUCGUCAGAGUUGAUGAUCCUCGAGAGAUCUGGAUUCGACAUCUUGGACCUCGGCAGCACAUAACCCUUCUUCUGAUCAGAAGCCUUCUCAAAGGUCCCGAAGACCGAG
This 559-nucleotide unclassified non-coding RNA is filed under the name Hevea brasiliensis (rubber tree). The record is from RNAcentral. Lineage: Eukaryota; Viridiplantae; Streptophyta; Magnoliopsida; Malpighiales; Euphorbiaceae.